CUGCAGGUCGACGAUUGGAGGAAAGUAGGGGAUCGCAAGACCUUGCGCUAUUGGAUGAGCCGAAGUCGGAUUAGCUAGUUGGUAGGGUAACGGCCUACCAAGGCGACAAUCCGUAGCUGGUCUGAGAGGACGACCAGCCACACUGGGACUGAGACACGGCCCAGACUCCUACGGGAGGCAGCAGUGGGGAAUAUUGGACAAUGAGGGCAACCCUGAUCCAGCCAUGCCGCGUGAGUGGAGAAGGCCUUCGGGUUGUAAAGCUCUUUCGGCCGGAACGAAAUCGGGUACGUGAAUAACGUGCCUGGAUGACGGUACUGGAAGAAGAAGCACCGGCUAACUACGUGCCAGCAGCCGCGGUAAUACGUAGGGUGCGAGCGUUAAUCGGAAUUACUGGGCGUAAAGCGUGCGUAGGCGGUUUCGCAAGUCAGAUGUGAAAUCCCCGGGCUUAACCUGGGAACU
RNAcentral lists this ribosomal RNA (459 nucleotides) under uncultured Nitrosospira sp. RNAcentral's name for it is "bacterial SSU rRNA". It matches the Rfam family "Bacterial small subunit ribosomal RNA", at positions 173 to 622 of the family's 1533-position model. Lineage: Bacteria; Pseudomonadati; Pseudomonadota; Betaproteobacteria; Nitrosomonadales; Nitrosomonadaceae. The record is from RNAcentral.